Hyla sarda is the source of this 571-nucleotide long non-coding RNA. RefSeq lists it as uncharacterized. The transcript is spliced from 3 exons. The record is from RefSeq and is a predicted model, not a curated record. Lineage: Eukaryota; Metazoa; Chordata; Amphibia; Anura; Hylidae.
AAAUCUGUUUAACUUUCUGGCAUCAGUUGAUAAAAAAAAUAAAAAAAAGUUUUCCACCGCAGUACCCCUUUAACCGCUUAGAUGCAGCGGUCAACAGCGAUCAUGACAUCUAUGUGGUUAGGAUGGGGUUGGGGGAGUAAGUUGUGCUCAUUCAAAAACUUUGCAAUAGAGUCCAGUGUUUUUUUAAAUUGGCCUCUUUCUUUUCCUAUGUAAAAAUAUAUGUGCAGGCCUCCUGACAAGGGAGAGGGAGGAGGGUGAGAAAAAGAGCGAAUUUCCACUGUUCUAGAAGAAACGACCCAGGUUCCAACUCGCCUGCAAACUCGACACUUCUUAGACUUGCUUGAACCAUAUUGCAUGGAUUAGAAGGAAAAAGAUCACGGAUAAUAGUGACCCUCUAUACAGAGAAUAGCAAUUAUAUCAGUACUUGUGUCACCUCGGAUUUCCAGCACUUUAUUACUGAAGUAGUAGCUGAAGGUAAGGGGAAUUUUCUUCUGAAAAUCCUCUGUGUGUGAAUUUACCCUAACAAGUACUGUAUGGGAUGCAAUUAAAGGGAAACUAUUAUUUCUGCAAG